RNAcentral lists this small RNA (169 nucleotides) under Chelonoidis abingdonii (Abingdon island giant tortoise). RNAcentral describes it as "TUC338 (ENSCABG00000017801.1)". Lineage: Eukaryota; Metazoa; Chordata; Testudines; Testudinidae. The record is from RNAcentral.
GGGACAGCCCUGGAGACUGGAGUCCUGUUUAUGCACAGAACAGGUACAUCACAGGAGCUUUUUGCCAUGCCAUCCUGCUAAUACACCUCCCCCCCGACCCACAGAGAGUAACUUCUGGGGAGCACUGGGGUAGCUGUCCCCUUGGCCUCUUUCCGAAGUUUGGACUAAU